Molecule: long non-coding RNA, 370 nt
Filed under: Parus major (Great Tit)
Lineage: Eukaryota; Metazoa; Chordata; Aves; Passeriformes; Paridae
Description: lncRNA (ENSPMJG00000012929.1)
Source: RNAcentral
CGAGAGAGGAGGGGGCUUUGAAGCAACUUGAGCUAAUCUGAUUCAUCCCUCAAAUUAUCUGUGUUCCUCAGGACUGCCUGCCUGAUGCCGUGGUCUUGCUGAGCCCUUGCCGACCCUUGGCAGCGAGGCUGUGCCAAGCAGGAGGAUUGCAAUGAACCUCUUCCCAUGCCCCAAAUGCUGAGUGUGGCAAAACCCUCUGGGAGGGUAACACAGGUUCAAUGCUCCUGGAGCCCUGCCUUGGGAACACUCUCUAGCAUAUUUAGCUGAUAAUGUUUAACUGGAUCCAGGGGAACAAUGACACCUAAUCCAUGUGAGAUUUAAGGAGCAAGAGAUUCCCUCUGAUCUAGAAUAUUCCUAUUGCUUAUAGCUC